Molecule: ribosomal RNA, 513 nt
Filed under: uncultured bacterium
Lineage: Bacteria
Description: partial 16S ribosomal RNA
Rfam family: Bacterial small subunit ribosomal RNA
Source: RNAcentral
GACGAACGCUGGCGGCGUGCUUAACACAUGCAAGUCGAACGAAAAGAGGGAAAGAGCUUGCUCUUUCCGGAAUCGAGUGGCAAACGGGUGAGUAACACGUAAACAACCUGCCUUCAGGAUGGGGACAACAGACGGAAACGACUGCUAAUACCGAAUAAGUUCCAAGGGCUGCAUGGCCCUUGGAAGAAAAGGUGGCUUCUAUUAUUAAGCUAUCGCCUGAAGAGGGGUUUGUGUCUGAUUAGCCGGUUGGGGGGGUAACGGCCCACCAAGGCGACGAUCAGUAACCGGUCUUGAAGGAUGAACGGCCACACUGGGAUUGGAGCACGGUCCAGAAUCCUACGGGGGGCAGCAGUGGGGGAUCUUCCGCAAUGGGCGGAAGGCUGACGGGGCAACGCCGCGGGAGUGAUGACGGCCUUCGGGUUGUAAAACUCUGGGAUCCAGGACGGAAAGACAGAGUGCGAAGAACAAACUGCAUUGACGGUACCGGAAAAGCAAGCCACGGCUAACUACGUG